UGUGUUGUUGGGUAGGGGAGCGUUCUGUAAGCCUGUGAAGGUGUACUGUGAGGUAUGCUGGAGGUAUCAGAAGUGCGAAUGCUGACAUAAGUAACGAUAAAGCGGGUGAAAAGCCCGCUCGCCGGAAGACCAAGGGUUCCUGUCCAACGUUAAUCGGGGCAGGGUGAGUCGACCCCUAAGGCGAGGCCGAAAGGCGUAGUCGAUGGGAAACAGGUUAAUAUUCCUGUACUUGGUGUUACUGCGAAGGGGGGACGGAGAAGGCUAUGUUGGCCGGGCGACGGUUGUCCCGGUUUAAGCGUGUAGGCUGGUUUUCCAGGCAAAUCCGGAAAAUCAAGGCUGAGGCGUGAUGACGAGGCACUACGGUGCUGAAGCAACAAAUGCCCUGCUUCCAGGAAAAGCCUCUAAGCAUCAGGUAACAUCAAAUCGUACCCCAAACCGACACAGGUGGUCAGGUAGAGAAUACCAAGGCGCUUGAGAGAACUCGGGUGAAGGAACUAGGCAAAAUGGUGCCGUAACUUCGGGAGAAGG
This 528-nucleotide ribosomal RNA is filed under the name Escherichia coli. RNAcentral describes it as "partial 23S ribosomal RNA". It matches the Rfam family "Bacterial large subunit ribosomal RNA", at positions 1217 to 1746 of the family's 2925-position model. Lineage: Bacteria; Pseudomonadati; Pseudomonadota; Gammaproteobacteria; Enterobacterales; Enterobacteriaceae. The record is from RNAcentral.